CCUACGGGGGACAGCAGUGGGGAAUAUUGCGCAAUGGGCGAAAGCCUGACGCAGCGACGCCGCGUGAGGGAUGAAGGUCUUCGGAUCGUAAACCUCUGUCAGCAGGGAAGAACGGUCACUGUGCUAAUCAGCAGUGAAUUGACGGUACCUGCAAAGGAAGCACCGGCUAACUCCGUGCCAGCAGCCGCGGUAAUACGGAGGGUGCGAGCGUUAAUCGGAAUUACUGGGCGUAAAGCGCUCGUAGGCGGUAUGUCAAGUCAAGGGUGAAAUCCCCGGGCUCAACGUGGGAACUGCCUUGGAAACUGGCAAACUGGAGUGUGUGGGAGGAUGGUGGAAUUCCAGGUGUAGGAGUGAAAUGCGUAGAUAUCUGGAGGAACAUCAGUGGCGAAGGCGACUAUCUGGCACAUAACUGACGCUGAGGAGCGAAAGCGUGGGUAGCAAACAGGAUUAGAUACCCGAGUAGUC
This 465-nucleotide ribosomal RNA is filed under the name uncultured bacterium. Its description in RNAcentral is "partial 16S ribosomal RNA". It matches the Rfam family "Bacterial small subunit ribosomal RNA", at positions 338 to 795 of the family's 1533-position model. The record is from RNAcentral.